GCGACAGAUGCUAAAAUUUCAAAGAACCCACGAAGAAGAAGGAAGUCACGUGAUUCAGAGAAAGGCUCGUAAUCAAGUGAUGGUAAAGCCACCAGAUAGUCUAAAAAGUGACAUUUGGGUUUGAAAAUGGAUUAGAAGUCGCUCUUAGCUAACUGAGGGGGAUGCUAACCGGCUAAUAAAGAUUGUAAACGCUGAAUCCUUGAGGAACCGUUUGGGCCGAAUCUUUCCUGACAUGGACGUGAGCAUAGCUGUGUCGCUGAUUCGGGGUCAGAUGGGCACCGUGGUGGAGCGAGCGGUCAACGUUGCCGUGGAGACCGUUUUGGCAGAGAUGCUUAAAGUGGUGGGAGCCAAAUUUGAGGAGCUGAAAACCCAGGUGAUGCUGAUGAAGAGAGACAUGGCGGCUCUGCAGAGGGAGAAGGCGCUGAAGGAGAAGGAGAAUGACAACAUUAGAGCCAAACUGCGAUACACGGAACUGAAGUUGAAGUACUACCGCCAGGGCGUGGAGGAGGAGUUGCAGCAGAGAGCCUCUUCCUCCACUCUGGUCCGAAUUUACCCACCUGGAUUUGCACGAGUGCAGGGGGGCGAGGUCCUUCCUACUGAGCCCUCCCCAUCCUGCUCGGCUCAGAGGACCCCGGAUUCAGUGCUGGUGAAGAGCAGUCAAGAAUGCAGUUCUUCACAGAGCACAUGCAGGCGUGCGAGCAGAGCGGGCUGCCCGUCAGAUACAACAUGUUUGGACUUGAUGGAAUUGCGGCACAACGCUCCUGCAGAACCGCUGGACAGCAGCGCUGAUUUCCUUGCGGAACGUGACGUCUCUCCCACGGGAGGUCCUAUUGAGAGAGAAUGGAGCAUCUCUGUAGGGUCGCAUGCAGACGGCGUGGACGCCAUGGUGACCACUCCCUCCAUCCAGAAUCUGGCCAAUGAUUCAGGUCCUCCUCCAACAGGCAGCUCGCCAUCUCCACCAGCUAACAGCUGGAGCACGCCCUCCACUGCUGCACAGGUGAAGCAGGAGCUCCAUCCACAGGAGGAGGAGGAGGAGGAAGUGAUCUGCAUCAAAGAGGAGCCAGAGGAGCAGGAGGUGAUGCAGCAGAGUUAUCCUCCACAGUCAGAGGCUCCACUGUUGAUGUCAGAGAGGAAACCUUCAACAAGUCAGAUGAACCUGAACGUCUCCGUCAGCUCUGGAGGAUCAAAUACCUACGCUGCUUCUCAGCUGGCUGCCUCCCUGCCCCCGGGGGCGUUGCCCCGCCAGGCGCCGCAGCCUUGGACCAAAGACCUCAGCUUCUACGACGAGUUCAAGCUCCGCAGGAACGAGCUACGGCGGCGAAACCUGACCCGUCAGAGAGAACUGGAGAAGGAGCUACCUCAGCCGCUGCUGGCAAAUCUGGUGCAAGAGCGCCGAGAGAAGACCAGGCUGAGGGUGGCCAGAUGGAGAGCCAAGAGGAAACUGCAGGCUUAUCUGAACCAGACUCAGGCUCAGGCUGGAGCUGCUGCUGCUUCUCCUUCAGGAUUUCCAGGUCAGCAGCUUUCAGCUCCUUCUGCUUCCAGGAACCAGCAGAGGCAGAACGCCGGCAGCUUCCUCUGCAACACGGCUGCCAACAACAUGCCUGUCAUCCUCCCCCUCAUCUCCGCCUCGUCCUCCCCCCUCAUCCUGCAAUGUCCCAGCAUGCUCCCAAACGACCAGAGCGUGCCUUCGUCAUCCUCCUCCUCUUCCUCUUCAUACACGCAGAUGUCGCUGGACUGCUGACCCGUCAGGAAGUUGCUGUCCUCCAGGAUCACGUCCUCCGUGUUCCAGAUGACGAUGCGCAGCUCGUACCUGGACAGAAAGGUUCUGGUGUGGUUCUCCGCCGACAGGUUCUACUCUGAAGGAACGUGGAGUCUCACCCUUUUGGUUUUCGAGGAGAAAUGUCGACUGGAGGUCCAGGAUGUGGCAGGUCCAUGGGGAACAUGUCGACCCACAUCUGGACCUGACCCUGCACGAAAGUGGAUACAAUUAUGAGCAGAAAGUCUUCCUGGUGGUUGGCACCUGAGUCUUGCUUGGUUCAGUACCUGAUCCAUGCCGGGCCGGGCCUUGUUGAACAGAGUUCUGGUCUCGAUGUGUUCUGGUACCAGUUUGCAGCCCACAGCUGGGAUUUCCGACCAGCGGUGCAGAAUCUUCAAAGACAGGUGUUCGUAGGACUCCACCGGCUGGUCUGAGGCAAACACACCGUAAAACUGAUUCUAAGGAAGAUCUGCGGACCGUUCUGGAUCGACACAGACCCAAAAGCGUCUUUACCUUCAUUCAUGUAGAGUGUUUUCCCGGUAAAGACUUUGUCUGCCACCGUGAUCCGUCCUGGACGGAAGUGAGGAGCGUCCAGACCGUUCUCCCUGCACAUCUUUGACAGCAGCUCCGACGGCUUCAGGCUGUCCCUCCAGGCGUUGUAGCCCUCUCUGACGGACAGAACCACAAACAUCCAGGUUCACUUUAGGUUCCUCCUGAUGUCCUUUAAGCCCCGAUGUCUGAGCUUACAGGCUGUACUCCGUGGGGAGUCCACAGGUGGCUCUGUGUCGGCUGUAGAACCGAUUCUCCAAGUCGAUGCGAGUCUCGCCGAUCAGGUCGUCGCCUCCCACUAGGUCAAAGUCGUAGAUCACCACCGACAGCAGAGACUCCUGAGGAAACGUGGCCUGCAUCUCAAAAGACCUGGAACACGGCUCAGUUUCAGGAGAAAUCCACUUCAAACGUUUAGUUUAGCGGUUCUUUACCUUCCAAAAACCGGGUUCAGCUGUUUAGGAAUGUAGUUGUCUCUGUCUUUGAUUUCGUUUUUACCGAGACGGAGAACGAUGUAAGGGUCUGCCUUCCCGUCUGGGUCGGCCGGGUGAAGGUUCGAAGCCUGCAAACAGCAGAUUUCAUGACAUCACAUCGAUUUAAAGUGAAGUCAGAAGCUGAGGGACUCACCGAGACGACGUAGACCCGUAUGAGGACUUGGACCGGACUGUUGGCUGGGAUUCCUCUGCUGACUCUGAAGAACCCUACGUCUGACGCCUCACCCCACUCCUCCGCCUCCUCGGUCAGUUUGUAGAGGCAGAACCGAGCCUGAGGAGCAGUACGUGAAGAAGCUUUAGAAUAUCCCAGAUCCAAAGGGACUCACAGAACCAGCUGGUCUCACCUUAAACUUCCCGACGAACCUGUCGUCGGACGAUCCCUCUUCCUCGUUGGCUUUCCCGCGGAAAAGCUCGUACGUGUUCACCCAGUCAUCAAACUGCCCGAAGUCGGCCUCAAGUUCCCUGUUGUAGAGCUGCACCCACAAUAAACACGACCAUCGUAGAUCCAGUUUCAGAGCCCGUGUCUGACCCACAUGUGUGCAGAAAUACCUUAAGCGUGGCCAGUUUAGCGCACAGACCAGAACCGGGCUCCACUUUUCCUUUCGGAUGCUUUUUCUUGUCUCCAUCCUGGCUGCUGACUGAUGGACCAACCAGACUGUUACUAAGAAACUCAUACAGAGUAGCUGGAUCACAUGGUUUUCAUCAAAAACGAACCAAAGUAACGGGCCAGAUUUGUAAUAUCUAGAGCCAGACCCAGUCCGUCCAUAGAUGUUUAUGAAAAGACCAAGCAGAAGAUCUCUACCCAGCAGGUCAGGAACUUCUCUGCCUUGUUUCUUACCCAAAGAGUCUACUCCAUCGUUGAGCAAGCUGCAGUACGGCGAAGCUGUGAAGCACAACGAGCGUCGGUCAGGAGAUUGAUCCUUAAGAACCGACCAAUCAUCAAUGCUUUCCCCUUAGAACUAAAACCUCCAGAGAGGCGGCGAUGGCAGUGGAGAGGUCAUUUUUGUACUACCACAUAAAGGCAACAAACAAAUGAAAUGAAUAGUCUGUUUUGGUCCUCACCAGCUGACUCAACAAGCCUCUGGCUACGUUCACACCAGGAAUAGAAACUAGAGUUCUAGCAACUUCUUUAGAAGAAAAAGUCAAUGUAAACGCAUAUGGGCAUUUUGGGCUUCUGCAUUAAAAAUAUUGAGUCCACGCAUCACUACCUACAUUUCUAAGCCUCUUUUUGGGCUCUACAAACAAAACGCAUGGCCAUUUGGUGCAACUUAAAAGCUAAACCUGGUUGACCAAUCAGGGACGUGACGUAUGGAUGGUUGAUGUCAUCUAUCUAUCAUGCCUCAAUAUCAACUUUUUGAAAAUUGAUCAUGAAAGAGAAAUUCAUAACUGUGGUUUGCGUCUGGACAGAAUUCUAUAACACUAAGUCCUUCAUAUAUCGGAAUAGAGCAACUGGAGCAACUGGAGCAAGAUUCACCAGAUUUACAUUUACAUGCCAAAGUAAAAUUAAUUAGCACUUCAUUAACUAUAAACAAGUAUCUCUGCAGUCUUAUAGCAUCAAAGUGCAGUUCCAGAAGUUUUACUCAAUUAAUGUUUAGAUUUCAAAAUUACGACUUUUAUAAGUCAGGUGGAGCAACAGAGUUAGACUAAAUAAAAUGUACAAUUUAAUUAUGUGGCCAAAUUGUUCCAAUAUAUUCCUGGAUUUUUAUUUUUGUUUCAAGUAUAGUCGAUUCUUUUUGUCUACGAGCGUUUGCAGUUUUCUGCUAAACGAAGGUGAGACUGAAAACGUUCCAAACAUUGGUUGAAUCACCUGAUUCCUGGCUUUAGUAUUUGACAUAUUCAUCUUUCAUACGUCCACCUGUGUGUACACCUUUUCUGCUUCUUUUAAACAUGGAGGUUCAAUAAAUCCCAACCGUUUCUGUCCUGAUCAUGAAAGUGGGAGGAGUUAUCAUCUCUUACAUUUCUCAAAGAUGUGCGGGAAAGGCGAGUCGUCCUUGAGCUUCUCCUGAAACACAAACAGAAGAUCUCAUGCUCACGUUUCAGAACCAACCUCUGUGAACACCACUCGGCGCACAGGACUACCUCUUUCUCCACGGAGGCGUAGUACUUGGACCACCAGUCGAUGACGUUCUCUGCAGAUUCGUCUGCGAUGGUUCGUUUGCGCCGCUUGGUGGAGCGAUGGAUGCUCUUCUUGCUGCUCUCCUGCAUGUCAAACACUCAUGAAGACUAAUCAUGUGCAGCGGGGGGGUCUUGCUGCGUGUGUGAAGAAUCACCCUUUUCCUCCGGGACUCCUCUGGCGGUGGGGGCGGAGCUUCACUCUCUACAGUGACGAGGAAAUCCUGGUUGGUUAGCGUCAUGACUGAACUGGUUUCUCCAUCAAACUCUGACAGUCCUGAAGGAGAAAAGAGAACGUUCCUUUCAUCAUUUCAUAACAUCAUGCAGUGGAAAAUUGCAACAUCACAUGACCCAAACGGAGAGGUUGACCCGUACAGGUGCUGCAGGUUUUGGGUUGUCUGGGUUUGUAAAAGGAGUCUUAGAGAGAACACCUCAAUGGAGGUUAUAAGAAUGGAAUGUAUGGAGCAAAAUUAGGGCCAAUUUUAUCUGAAACUCAAACAAAACAACUUGGAAAAAUUAUUGGUUUUUGGCAAAAAAAAAAAAAAAAAAGAAAUGUCAGAAACCUUUUGCUUCUCUAACAUAAACUUAAUUGUUUUCAGCUUCAAAUGUUCUGGUUUUUAGGUUUCGAAACUUGAAAUUUGAUUUUCAAAACUUUAUUUUCAGCUCCAAAUCUUGUGUUUGAUCAUUUGUAUUUGCCCCGCCUAAUCAGGGCCAAAAGUUUCGAAACUGAAAUUUUCAGAUUCAAAAUCGAAAAAAAGUAAAAAAAAGAUUUAAAGCUGAAAAAAAAGAUUUGAAAAUGAAAUUUUGAGUUUUGAAACCUAAAAAACAGAACAUUUGAAGCUGACAUCAGUUUAUUUUAGAGUAGCAAAAAGUUUCUGACAUUUUAAUUUUUUUUUUGGGCCAAACACCAGUAUUUUUUUCAAGUUACUUUAUUUGGGUUUCAAAUAAUAUUUAUCUCCAUAUGAAUGUACCAUUGAGUUUUAAAUCUUUGUAAAUGUUUGUGUUAAAAUAAAAAUAAACAUUUUUUAUCUAAACUGGCCUAAACGUUGGUGAGCAGUUUUACCACAAACCUUCGGGGUGCUGCGUCGCCGGCAUGGAACUGGAUCCAGCUCCCUGUGGGACCUCCGGGGGUUGGCGUGUCCUCACGGAGGACGGCGCGACCGGGGGCGGAGUGUAUUUGAAGGCUUUCAGGUUGUUGGUGAUGUGGUUUCCAACGAGAGUGCUGCGGCCAAACGCCCGCCAGUCGACAACCGUGAUGCUGAGAGGAGGAUGGAGGUGUUCGUUCUCCGGCAGCUCCUGCAGAGCAGAGGAGUCGGUGACGGUCCAAAGAGGACAAACCAGGAAGUUCCGGUUACAAAGUUUAAUGAAAGCUGAUCGGUUUGACGCCUUCAUCCAAACCAACUCAAAAACUUCAUGCACAAUGACAUUUGGAUUUUCUUUUUCUGCCUCUUUGACACGAUUCUAAGGAAAGACUUUCAUUGGACGGAAUCCAAAAGAAAAAAGAUUUUAAGCAAGAGCUACUCUGUAAAAUGUGAGAUAAAGCAUCUUUUAUGAGUAGCUGCUUCUAUUUGUGAG
Long non-coding RNA from Oryzias javanicus (javanese ricefish), 6483 nucleotides. The record is from Ensembl. NCBI's taxonomy places the organism in Eukaryota, Metazoa, Chordata, Actinopteri, Beloniformes, Adrianichthyidae.